Long non-coding RNA from Prionailurus viverrinus (fishing cat), 3082 nucleotides. RefSeq lists it as uncharacterized. The record is from RefSeq and is a predicted model, not a curated record. The transcript has 6 exons. NCBI's taxonomy places the organism in Eukaryota, Metazoa, Chordata, Mammalia, Carnivora, Felidae.
CCAGCGGUUCCAACUUAAGCCGGUUGUCUAAUCGCCUUGAAUUUGAGUUUGUGCACCUGUAGCUGCAGAACAGGGGUGGUGCUGACCCCUUCAGGUUGUUCCCGGAGUAAAUGCGCCGCCUCAGGAAAAGUGUACGCUGGGAGGAAGAAGCGCCAGAGUCCACCCAAGGGAGCGGCGCAGGGAGUGGGGGAAGAAGCAGAUGAGCAAGGAAAGUGGGAUCAGAUUUUUGCAGAGGGAGUGACUUUUUGCUUGGCUGAAGAAAGGCAAGGAAGAGGUCCCUGUCACAAGGUGCUUGACGGUGGGAAAAGCCUGCGAGCCUGGAGAACAGCCCGUCUAAGGGCCAGGAGGUGGAAAGGGCUUGUUUGGGGAUUCCCCCCCACCCCCACCUCCGGCGCUGGCACAACCUGAGGUCCUGCCAGGCCUCCGCCAUCAGUCACCCACUACCAGCCAGGCCUGGUAGUCUGCGACCCUGAGUCUGCGACCCUGGUGGGCAGGUGACACUGACCACCCCUUCCUCCGGACUCAAUCAGAACACAGCCGGUGGCAUCCAAGAGGUGCCAAGUGGGGACCCGGCGCCUGCCCAGGUUCUGCAAGAGCGUGGGCCUCGUGGAGGCAGGGAGGAAGCACGUGUGUGUCUCAGUACAGGGACUCGCUCGGAAAAGUCUUUGAGAACUGGUGACACACGUAUUUGAAAGAUGGAGACACUCUUUUUAGUGGAAUAUUUGUACCUCCUCCCCCCGCCCCGCCCAACUCCUGCGAUCUACUCUCCGUAAGUAUACAGUGAAAAGCCUUCACCCCAGAAGAACAUCAGACAAGUCCCCUAACUGAGGAACCAUCUAUAAAGUAUCUGACCAGUUCUCAAAACUGUCAAGGCCACCAAAAACAAGGCAAGACUGAGAAACUGCCACAGCCAGGAGGAGCCUAAGGAGACAUGACCAUUAAAUGUGAUGUGGGAGCCUGCAUGGGAUCCUGGAACAGAAAAAGGACAUUUGGGGAAAACUAAGGAAAUCCGAGGCAAGAUGGACUUCAGGCAAUAAUAUAUCAAUGCUGGUUCAUUAACUGUAACCAAAGUACCACACUAACCCUGGAAAGACCCUCAUUCCUGUGGCCAGUUCCCUGUUCAUGGACUUGGGCUCUGCGAUGUCUUGCAGUCCUAACAACGACUUGAGGACAAACCGAGGGCAUAACCCUGGCAAACAGUGGACUUCGAAUCUCUACCUCGCUGUCCUUGAAGUUGGCCCGCCAGCAAACUGCCUGAGUUUUUGAAGCACUUCAAACUUCCAACCGUCAGUGCAUGCCCCCAAAGCCCUUCUGCACGCCGGUCGUCGGCUGGAGUUCAUUCUUAAUUUACGUUUCUUAAGGUGACCAGCCUCCUACGUGGCCAAAAGAUGAGGUGUUCGGCAUCUGUUACGAGCCUGGGCCGUGAGCCUCUGGCGAAGAUUUCUCACUCUCUCCAUAAGAUCCUGUUCCAUGGUGUCCCAUUGUACUCUUCUUUGAUUUAAAGAAACUUGAAAACAAAAUUUUAAGGUUGGCAAACAGGAUGUGGCCCGAUUCCUGAGCCUGGCACUGAUGGUCCCUGUCUUCUUCAGUGGUCUCGAUAACUACUCUGCUCCAGCCGGUCUAACUUCUGUCACCACCACGGGCAACUUUCUCCCAUGGAUUCAUUGCAUCCAACAUGUUCUAUCAUGUAUGAGUGGAGUUCAUGGAGGCUUUGGUUGGUGAAUCCACAAAAAUUAUAAGGGAAGAAACUCUGUGUGUGUGUGCGCAUGUUCCUGGGAAGAUUCUCAGAGGGGCCUACGGUCCGUACAUGGUUUUGCCAUAGACAAUGGUGUACCGCCAUGCUAGAAAGCCGUAACAAAAUGGAAGAUCACCCGGGCUCUAUGUUCUCAUUUUACAAAUGAGCAAAGUGAAGACCAGUCAACAUUUCUGAACAAAUCCAAAUGAAGAAACACAAGUGGCUAAAUAAACUGCCCCGAGGUCUACAGCUUAGUGACUCCGGCCAAGUUUCACGGACCAUAAAGCUGGGACUAGGACCCGGUGCGCCUGUUGCCCGGGCCGGGGUCUUGCGCCACGUGGUGAAACCCUCCCUCUGAGUGUGUUCCUGUGGCACCAGGCCUGUCCUCUUUUUAAAGGCCCAGUAAUUUAAAACCUGGUCAAACGGCCCCACCUGUUACCACCUGGGAACAGCACUUACUAACGUCUUUUUUUAAAAUAACGGUUCACUGACAUAUAAUCCACAUACCAGAAAAUUGAUCCUGGUGAAGUGUACGAUUCAGCGUUCUUAGUAUAUUCCCAGAGUUGUACAACCAUUAGUUGUACAACCAUCACCACUAAUCUAGAACAUUUUCAUCAUCCCAACUCCUCGCAGCCAUUUGUGGUCACCCUCCCGAUCCCCCUGAAACCACCAAUCGACUUUCUGCCUCUAUGGAUCUGCCUGUUCUAAACAUUUCACAUGAAUAAAAUCAUAGGCUAUGUGUACUUUCGUGUCUGGCUCCUUAAACUUAGCAUAAGGUUUUUAAGGUUCACCCACAUUUUUAUUGCUAUGGAAGUUUCCAUCGUAUGGAUAUACUAUAUUCUGUUGGCCGAUUCCUGGUCUGAUGGAUAUCCAGGUUGUUUAUACUUUUUGGCUAUUAUGAAUAACGAUGCUAUGCACAUUCACGUACAGGUUUUUGUGUGGACGUGUUUCCGAAUCUCCCGGGCACAUGCCUACGAAUGGAACUGCCAGAUCACACAGCUACCCUACACUUAGCCCUCCGAGAAGCUGCCAGACUGUCUCCCAAAGUACACCACGUUACAUCUCCUCUAGCACUGUUCCAAUUGUUCUCUGACCCUCGUCAGCACGUGUUAUUAUUGUCUAAUUACGGUCAUGCUAGUGGGUGUGAAAUAGUAUCUGUGUUUUUGUAUUUAAAAAAUGUUUUCCUCAUGUGGUUUUGGUUUGUAUUUCCCUGAUGAGUAAUGAAGUUAAACAGCUUUUCAUGUGUAUUGUGGUCAUGUGUAUCUUCUUUGGAGAACUGUAAAUUCGUAUCUUUUGCCCGUUUAAAACUCUGGACUAAAAAAAAAUAAAAAUAAAAAAAUAAAACUC